AGUAGGGAAUAUUGCGCAAUGGAGGAAACUCUGACGCAGCGACGCCGCGUGGGUGAUGAAGGCCUUCGGGUCGUAAAGCCCUGUCGAAUGGGAAGAAACAUUUUAUGGCUAAUAUCCAUAGAACUUGACGGUACCAUUAGAGGAAGCACCGGCUAACUACGUGCCAGCAGCCGCGGUAAUACGUAGGGUGCGAGCGUUGUUCGGAAUCAUUGGGCGUAAAGCGAGAGUAGGUGGUUUGCUAAGUCGGGUGUGAAAUCCCUGGGCUCAACCCAGGAAGUGCAUUCGAAACUAGCUCACUUGAAGAUGGUAGAGGAAGGUGGAAUUCCAAGUGUAGAGGUGAAAUUCGUAGAUAUUUGGAGGAAUACCGGCGGCGAAGGCGGCCUUCUGGACCAUUCUUGACACUGAGACUCGAAAGCGUGGGUAGCAAA
This 428-nucleotide ribosomal RNA is filed under the name uncultured delta proteobacterium. RNAcentral's name for it is "bacterial SSU rRNA". It matches the Rfam family "Bacterial small subunit ribosomal RNA", at positions 353 to 772 of the family's 1533-position model. The record is from RNAcentral. Lineage: Bacteria; Deltaproteobacteria.